AACUUCAUCUCUUCAAUUGGAGAAGAGAGAAAGAGAAAAAAAAUCUUUGUUUAAUUUAAUUUGUUUUAAAUUAUUAUUUAAAACUAUUAUUGUUAUUAUCAUCAUCAACCUCAUAAUCAUCAACAUCAUAGUCAUUACAAUCAUCAAUCAACAACAUCAGCAACAUGGUGGAAGGAUUUAGAGAAACUGGAAUUGUUGAAAAAUUAUUACCCUCCUAUGGAUUUAUCCAGUGCUGUGAAAGACAAGCUCGCCUCUUUUUUCAUUAUAGUCAAUUUAAGGGUAACAUUGAUCAUCUUAAACUUGGUGAUCCUGUUGAAUUUGAGAUGACCUAUGAUCGUCGGACUGGUAAACCAAUUGCCUCGGUGGUUGUUAAAAUAUGCUCUGAAGCUUUUCUUGGUGAAGAAUUGAGCAGUGAGAGAGUGAGUGGUUUUGUUACCACCGAAUUAGGUGAAGGAAGAGAAGGCCGAGUUGCUUAUGAACAUAGAGGUGAAUGUUUCUUUCUUCCAUUUACCAUAAAAGAUUUAGAAGAUACUACACAAAUUGUUAAACAAAAUGAUCGAGUCACUUUCCUGAUUACUCCCGAUAAAAGUGGUAACCUUCGUGCCCGAAGAAUUGCCUUAGAGACACCAACCCCGGAACGUUACCAAGGUGUUGUAUGUACUUUGAAAGAUUCUUUUGGUUUCAUCGAGAGAGCUGAUGUGGUCAAGGAGAUAUUUUUCCACUCAUCUGAAUGUAAAGACUUUAAGAGUUUAACUCUUGGUGAUGAUGUUGAAUUUAGGGUUCAGACACGUAAUAAUAAAGAGGUUGCCGUAAGAGUAGACAAACUUCCUUCUGGAGCUGUUGUAUUUGAAGACAUUUCCCCUGAAACAAUCACUGGUCGAAUUAUCAAAUUAAUCGAACGUCACAGUAAUCAUUCCUCUAGCCGUCAACAUUUCACAAGCAAUAGCCUCCAAUCGGGAUCCGCAUCUAGUGAACCUUUCCCCGGUAAAAUAGUCUAUAUGGAUGGCAAUACUGAAAAAGAGAUCUCAUUUGGUGACAAAGAUGUACGAGGUUAUUACACUUUACAAGUUGGGGACACAAUACAGUUUAAUGUAGUCACUGAUCGACGUGACAAACUAGAGCAUGCAACUAAUAUUGAAAUUCUUGAAGAGACAUUCGAAAAUUCUGAAGAAGCCAGAGAGCAAGGCUACAUUGCUGCUCUCAAAGAGUCAUAUGGUUUUAUCAAAUGUCUCAAUCGAGAAGGAACUAGAAUAUUUUUCCGUUUCGCUGAACUAUUGGAUCCAACUACAAUUCCUAAAUUAAAUGAGGAGGUUAUAUUUACCAUUGCUCCGGAUCACUCCAUGCCUGGUCGUUUACAAGCAGUAAGGAUUAAAUUUCUACCCGAUGGAACCAUUUUCAAAAAUCUUUAUGCAAAACGUAGUUUUGGUAAUGAUAAUGGUGAAGAUGGUAAAAUGUCUGCCAGUUAUGGAGGUGGUAAAUUGGAAUCUCGCUUGAGAAACGAUUACGGCAAUGGCAUGGAUUCAAUGGACGAAAGUAAUGGUAACUGUGAAUUUCCUCUAAUCGAUUUGAAUACAGAUGAAUCAUCGACCACAGGUAAAUCGUCUCUAAGUUCAAACGAUUACCUGUCCAAAAGUGCCAAACCACGAUUUGGGAGAACUCAAAAUUCAUGGUCUCACUUAUUAUCACAAUUACCUAUAUCAAUGACCUCCGAUCCUUCAACUGACAAUGAUUAUCAUCAUCAUCCUCAUGCAACCACAUCCACAACUAAUACCAAUGACAAUUCCCAAUUGAUUGAUAUAUUUUCCUCUGUUGAUGAAACAAAUUGUGCACCUCUAAUCAAACCACUGGAACCAGCUUUAAUGAAAAACUCAUCAUUUACCCAUGAAAUUAAUUGCAAUGACAACGAUCCAACUAAAUAUAAUAAAUUUGGAGACAAUCAAAAUGGAUUAGAAAAUAGUACCAAUGGUUUCAAUGGCAAAAAUGGGGUCAAAACUGUUCAAAGAGGAUUUCCUAAAGAUACCUUUGGCUUCAUCGAGAAUGAGAACCAUAAAAAUGAAGCUUACUACAGAGUCAAAAUGAUGAUAAAUUUGCUAAGGAAUAUAAUUCAAUGAUUGACUCUCAUUGAAUCUGUUACCUUUAUCAUCGACAAUACUGUCCACUAUCUUAAUGAACUGUGCACCCAAAGUCCGAUUAACAGAACUCUCGUUAAGAUAAUUUGGAUUUUGUUCAGCAUAUUCAGUAAAUGCUUGUACAAUUGCAGCUCUCAUUUGACUGAAAAACUCAGUUGUUUGUCGCAUUAUUUCAGGAUUUUGAUACUGAGAUGGCCCUUGAUCCUCUGUUAGAUCAUUAUCAUUUCAAUUGGAACACUUUGUUGUUGAAAAUUUUGUGGUGAUGAUUUAGAUGAUUGUUGUAAAUUAGUAACUGCAAUCAGUUUAUCUUUGAGUCUUUGUAAAAAUAUCUCAUCAUCUUUAUCGCUUCCAAUCGAUGAUGACUUUGAACCAAUCACUACACAAAGUAAAAUUAAAAAACAAACAGACUCACAAUGUUUAGUUAACAUGAUCAGUCAAGAUUGGACUCAGUUAAUCAAAAGCCAAUAAUUAAUCUAAUCCAGUCUUUUAUACUUACAUUGGGUGCCAUUCAAAUGAAUCCAUUACCACGAGUUACCAUGACAAUAAGAGGGAUAUGAUCUAAUAAACCUGUAAUUAGUCAAUGAAAUACGUUAACUAGAGUCAAUUUGAAAGGGUGAUUGUUUGAAAGGCAUAACUGUAUCUCUAAUUGAUCCCAUAUCCUAAUUAUCAUCAUGAUUGUCAAACCUUUGUAAACAAAAAACCCGUAUGACUUUUUGGUACUUACCUUUUUCUUUUCUCUCUUUUCUCUUCUCUCAUUUAUCCCUCCCGAUAUAUUUUCACAAUUUCACUUUCACAUCAUCUUUAA
RNA transcript from Panonychus citri (citrus red mite), 2934 nucleotides. It is a transcript of the gene named cold shock domain-containing protein E1-like, with no coding region annotated. The transcript is spliced from 3 exons. The record is from RefSeq and is a predicted model, not a curated record. Lineage: Eukaryota; Metazoa; Arthropoda; Arachnida; Trombidiformes; Tetranychidae.